This is a non-coding RNA of Phrynosoma platyrhinos (Desert horned lizard), 72 nucleotides long. NCBI's taxonomy places the organism in Eukaryota, Metazoa, Chordata, Lepidosauria, Squamata, Phrynosomatidae. The record is from the annotation of a GenBank genome assembly.
GACAGCAUUGUAUAGUGGUUUGAGUGCUGGAUUACAGCUCUGGGGACCAGGGUUCAAAUCCGUGCUCUGUCC